UCUGGGCUGCUUGCCCAAAAUGAGGAAACUGCUUGAGUUUGAUUUCUUUGUUGUCGUAGAUAGAGCAGUCAAGGAUAGAGCUGUCAAGAUCGAAGUUGCCAAAGAUGAAGUGUUUGAUAAGCGAACUAUUAAGUGCAAAAGUGGUUGCUGCCUAGUUGAUCUUCAAGCAUUCGAUCUCUUAAGCUAUGUGACCUUUUCGCAUUAAAGAGCUUACCCAGGUGGGUGUCGGGAAAUUAGUUUACCCUCUCGCACUGGAGUGCAAUUAGUUUAUCCUCUCCAUAUGGGUGUCGGGGAAUUGGUUUACCCUCUCGCACUGGAGAGUAAUUAGUUUAACCUCUCGCACUGGAUAACAGACCCUUUUGGGUGUCGGGGAAUUGGUUUACCCUCUCACACUGGAGAGCAAUUAGUUUAACCUCUCGCACUGGAGAGCUUACCCAUAUGGGUGUCGGGGAAUUGGUUUACCCUCUCGCACUGGAGAGCAAUUAGUUUAUCCUUUCGCACUGGAGAGCAGACCCAGAAAGGGUUUUGAGCAGUUGUUGUGGACAGCAGUUGAGCCAGAUUUAUGAAUAACUUCUUGAAUCUUCAUUGAGAAUAAAAAAAUAAAUCAACUGUGCUGGAAGGUAGAAACUGCAUAACAAACUGGAUAUUCUUCGGCUUGUGAAGCUUUGUUCGUCGAGCUGCUUGAGUCUUCGAACUUCUUUGGAAAAAAUCCAAACGUGGUUCAGGGGGUGAUGGGAACUUCCCCUGCUUGUGUAGGCCGUUUUGUUGACCUGUCAAGAUACUCG
Molecule: long non-coding RNA, 785 nt
Filed under: Malus domestica (apple)
Lineage: Eukaryota; Viridiplantae; Streptophyta; Magnoliopsida; Rosales; Rosaceae
Description: long non-coding RNA (MDOM_LNC004624)
Source: RNAcentral